This 1144-nucleotide ribosomal RNA is filed under the name Staphylococcus aureus. RNAcentral's name for it is "bacterial SSU rRNA". It matches the Rfam family "Bacterial small subunit ribosomal RNA", at positions 17 to 1142 of the family's 1533-position model. Lineage: Bacteria; Bacillati; Bacillota; Bacilli; Caryophanales; Staphylococcaceae. The record is from RNAcentral.
UCCUGGCUCAGGAUGAACGCUGGCGGCGUGCCUAAUACAUGCAAGUCGAGCGAACGGACGAGAAGCUUGCUUCUCUGAUGUUAGCGGCGGACGGGUGAGUAACACGUGGAUAACCUACCUAUAAGACUGGGAUAACUUCGGGAAACCGGAGCUAAUACCGGAUAAUAUUUUGAACCGCAUGGUUCAAAAGUGAAAGACGGUCUUGCUGUCACUUAUAGAUGGAUCCGCGCUGCAUUAGCUAGUUGGUAAGGUAACGGCUUACCAAGGCAACGAUGCAUAGCCGACCUGAGAGGGUGAUCGGCCACACUGGAACUGAGACACGGUCCAGACUCCUACGGGAGGCAGCAGUAGGGAAUCUUCCGCAAUGGGCGAAAGCCUGACGGAGCAACGCCGCGUGAGUGAUGAAGGUCUUCGGAUCGUAAAACUCUGUUAUUAGGGAAGAACAUAUGUGUAAGUAACUGUGCACAUCUUGACGGUACCUAAUCAGAAAGCCACGGCUAACUACGUGCCAGCAGCCGCGGUAAUACGUAGGUGGCAAGCGUUAUCCGGAAUUAUUGGGCGUAAAGCGCGCGUAGGCGGUUUUUUAAGUCUGAUGUGAAAGCCCACGGCUCAACCGUGGAGGGUCAUUGGAAACUGGAAAACUUGAGUGCAGAAGAGGAAAGUGGAAUUCCAUGUGUAGCGGUGAAAUGCGCAGAGAUAUGGAGGAACACCAGUGGCGAAGGCGACUUUCUGGUCUGUAACUGACGCUGAUGUGCGAAAGCGUGGGGAUCAAACAGGAUUAGAUACCCUGGUAGUCCACGCCGUAAACGAUGAGUGCUAAGUGUUAGGGGGUUUCCGCCCCUUAGUGCUGCAGCUAACGCAUUAAGCACUCCGCCUGGGGAGUACGACCGCAAGGUUGAAACUCAAAGGAAUUGACGGGGACCCGCACAAGCGGUGGAGCAUGUGGUUUAAUUCGAAGCAACGCGAAGAACCUUACCAAAUCUUGACAUCCUUUGACAACUCUAGAGAUAGAGCCUUCCCCUUCGGGGGACAAAGUGACAGGUGGUGCAUGGUUGUCGUCAGCUCGUGUCGUGAGAUGUUGGGUUAAGUCCCGCAACGAGCGCAACCCUUAAGCUUAGUUGCCAUCAUUAAGUUGGGCACUCUA